This 406-nucleotide ribosomal RNA is filed under the name uncultured bacterium. RNAcentral's name for it is "partial 16S ribosomal RNA". It matches the Rfam family "Bacterial small subunit ribosomal RNA", at positions 30 to 526 of the family's 1533-position model. The record is from RNAcentral.
AUUGAACGCUGGCGGCAGGCCUAACACAUGCAAGUCGAACGAGUGGCGUACGGGUGAGUAAUGUCUGGGAAACUGCCUGAUGGAGGGGGAUAACUACUGGAAACGGUAGCUAAUACCGCAUACCAUCGGAUGUGCCCAGAUGGGAUUAGCUAGUAGGUGGGGUAAAGGCACACCUAGGCGACGAGCCCUAGCUGGUCUGAGAGGAUGACAAGCCAGACUGGAACUGAGACACGGUCCAGACUCAUACGGGAGGCAGCAGUGGGGAAUAUUGCACAAUGGGCGAAAGCCUGAUGCAGCCAUGCCGCGUGUAUGAAGAAGGACUUCGGGUUGUAAAGUACUUUCAGCGGGGAGGCGUUACCCGCAGAAGAAGCACCGGCUAACGCCGUGCCAGCAGCCGCGGUAAUUC